Long non-coding RNA from Gasterosteus aculeatus aculeatus (three-spined stickleback), 726 nucleotides. NCBI's taxonomy places the organism in Eukaryota, Metazoa, Chordata, Actinopteri, Perciformes, Gasterosteidae. The record is from Ensembl.
UUUCUUUCUUUUUUUGGGACGGCGAUCGACAAUUCUUCUAAACCGCUUCAGUUAGCCGGAGAGGGCUGCUGAGCUGCACCACCGUCACCUUCAGGCUGAGCGGGUGAAGGAUCAGCUGUCAAUCAUCCAGUCAGAUCAACUGCUUUUGAUGAUAUUUGACUCCUGAAGUUUGCGGAUGACACCACCCUCCUUGGACUGAUCUCUGGUGGGGUGAUUGAGUCCGCCUACAGGUGCGAGGUCUGACCUUCUGGCGCAGCCAGAACAACAUCAACGCUCUGAAGACAGUGGAGAUGGUUGUGGAUUUCAGAAAGAACGCAGUCCCACGUUGAGCUGAACAUCAGCUCCAUCACCACAAAGGCUCAGCAGAGGUUGUUCUUCCUGAGGCAGCUGAAGAAAUUCAACCUGCCAAAGACGAUGAUGGUGCACCAACCGAGGACGAGGGCAGGAUGCAAAUCUGCCGUCCCUGCAGGACUUGUUCGCUUCCAGGUCUCUGAAGCGAGCUAGAAAGAUGGUAGCCGACCCCUCUCACCCCGGACCAAAACCUGUUUGUGCCCCUUCCAUCUGGCAGGAGGCUGAGGUCCAUCAGGACUAAGACCUCCCGCCACACCAACAGUUUCUUCCCGUCGGCAGUCGGGCUCAUCAACAGAGCCGGUCCCCCACUGACUGACUCUGACGUCCCACCGGUCACUCCCUUCACACACCUGUCACAUGUCACUUACACUCAUU